This 856-nucleotide long non-coding RNA is filed under the name Ricinus communis (castor bean). RNAcentral describes it as "long non-coding RNA (RCOM_LNC001290)". Lineage: Eukaryota; Viridiplantae; Streptophyta; Magnoliopsida; Malpighiales; Euphorbiaceae. The record is from RNAcentral.
AGAAGGUGGGUAGAGACAAAAGGUUCGGAUUCGUGCAUAUAGAUGGUGAUGUUUGUGGUUUGAUCCGCUGAUCUUUGUAUUUGCAAAUAAUGCUUGCGUGAUGGAUGCUGAUGCUUUGGGCAGAUAAAAGUAGGCAUGAUGAGUUUCAAAUCAGUCAAUUGAGUACUGCUGUACUAAAACCAGAAUUAAACGGCUCUAUUAGAAUAAUAUUUGAUUAGGGAUUAGCCCACUUUACAAGUUGGGAUAAAAUCAUUUGUCUUUUUGGGGCAAGGCAUUAUAAAUUAUAUCAUCUAUUCUACAACCGAAAAGUGAUCAAUUGAAUGUAAGAUGGAAGAUUUUGAUGGAUGGAACUCUCAAAUGCGCAUGACAAGGAACUUAGGAAAUGCACUACACAUGGCGUUAUUCACAUAUUGAUAGGCCUAACAGGAGGAAAGCCUAGUCACUUUUGGCAAUUUCCAUGUCCAUAUGGGGCCAUCACUGCUGUCCAAUCUAACACGUGGACGACUAUGAUGACUUGAGAGGUCUAAUAUAAGUGUGUGAUCAAUCAAAUGUGAUUGCCGUAAGCAAUUGAGUUAAGUACGAUGCCACCGCUACCGUGAAGAAGUCAAGCUUACAAUUCUUUUGUUUUUCUUUUUCGGGUAUAAAAGCAAAAUGGUAUUUGAAUUGAGCCACUGUUAAUACAUAUAUAUUUAUAUGAGCUACUGUUACAUUUUAAACGAUGAUUUUAAGGACUCUCUUGCCCAGAUAUCACAUUUAAAAAUGUGGGGUAAAUAUUGAUCAUCCAAAUCGAAUCUGAACAUAAUCAAUUAACUGUUAUUGUCUCAAAAUUCAAUUAAUCAACUAAAAUAUUAUGAUA